RNAcentral lists this ribosomal RNA (253 nucleotides) under uncultured bacterium. RNAcentral's name for it is "partial 16S ribosomal RNA". It matches the Rfam family "Bacterial small subunit ribosomal RNA", at positions 524 to 776 of the family's 1533-position model. The record is from RNAcentral.
UACGUAGGGUGCAAGCGUUAAUCGGAAUUACUGGGCGUAAAGCGUGCGCAGGCGGUUGUGCAAGACAGAUGUGAAAUCCCCGGGCUUAACCUGGGAACUGCAUUUGUGACUGCACGACUAGAAUCUGGCAGAGGGGGGUAGAAUUCCAUGUGUAGCAGUGAAAUGCGUAGAUAUGUGGAGGAAUACCGAUGGCGAAGGCAGCCCCCUGGGCUAAGAUUGACGCUCAUGCACGAAAGCGUGGGGAGCAAACAGG